AUUGUUGCGGUCGUAGCCCAUGACGUCACUUCCUCCUUCACCAGCCCGUUCCUGGAUGCUAUGGUGGAAGAAGAAUGAAUGUGUUUGUCGAGUGGGCUAGCCGAUUGCUCCUCAUGUCGUUUCUUUGCUAAGGCGGACUGAUGUCGGCUGAAUAUUCUCGGAAAUGUUAACUUCCAUCCUAUACAGGCUUGACUGAGAUGCUGGAAGAACUUCAAGGCCGUGCCACAGAUAUUCAUCACAAAUCUUAUUACCGACGCUGGCAUUUUCCUGCCACAGGCGGAGGCCCAAGGUCAGUGGAGGUCUGACGGGACGUUGAUGAAUGGAUGUGAAGGGUGUCAUCCUGGAUAAACAGCGCCCGGGCCCACAUGCUGCUACAUCCUGAAAAAUACGUCUGCUCCACCAGCAGCCCAGGGAAAUAGUUUGGAGGUUUCACACAUCCUUUCGAUUGCUCACUCUGUCUUUCUCUCUGCGUGGAACGUACAUCACUCCCCGUGUAUGAAAAGAAAAGAAAAAAAAUAACACACACCCA
This is a long non-coding RNA of Poecilia latipinna (sailfin molly), 529 nucleotides long. RefSeq lists it as uncharacterized. The record is from RefSeq and is a predicted model, not a curated record. The transcript is spliced from 4 exons. NCBI's taxonomy places the organism in Eukaryota, Metazoa, Chordata, Actinopteri, Cyprinodontiformes, Poeciliidae.